This 492-nucleotide ribosomal RNA is filed under the name uncultured bacterium. RNAcentral describes it as "partial 16S ribosomal RNA". It matches the Rfam family "Bacterial small subunit ribosomal RNA", at positions 29 to 507 of the family's 1533-position model. The record is from RNAcentral.
AGUGAACGCUGGCGGUAGGCCUAACACAUGCAAGUCGAACGGCAGCACAGUAAGAGCUUGCUCUUACGGGUGGCGAGUGGCGGACGGGUGAGGAAUACAUCGGAAUCUACUUUUUCGUGGGGGAUAACGUAGGGAAACUUACGCUAAUACCGCAUACGACCUACGGGUGAAAGCAGGGGAUCUUCGGACCUUGCGCGGUUGAAUGAGCCGAUGUCGGAUUAGCUAGUUGGCGGGGUAAAGGCCCACCAAGGCGACGAUCCGUAGCUGGUCUGAGAGGAUGAUCAGCCACACUGGAACUGAGACACGGUCCAGACUCCUACGAGAGGCAGCAGUGGGGAAUAUUGGACAAUGGGCGCAAGCCUGAUCCAGCCAUACCGCGUGGGUGAAGAAGGCCUUCGGGUUGUAAAGCCCUUUUGUUGGGAAAGAAAAGCAGCAGGUUAAUACCCCGCUGCUCUGACGGUACCCAAAGAAUAAGCACCGGCUAACUUCGUG